RNAcentral lists this ribosomal RNA (594 nucleotides) under uncultured bacterium. Its description in RNAcentral is "partial 16S ribosomal RNA". It matches the Rfam family "Bacterial small subunit ribosomal RNA", at positions 355 to 941 of the family's 1533-position model. The record is from RNAcentral.
UGGGGAAUCUUCCGCAAUGGACGAAAGUCUGACGGAGCAACGCCGCGUGAGUGAAGAAGGUUUUCGGAUCGUAAAACUCUGUCUUUUGGGGCGAACGUGAGUAUGGUGAACAAUCAUAGUCAGUGACGGUACCAAAGGAGGAAGCCACGGCUAACUACGUGCCAGCAGCCGCGGUAAUACGUAGGUGGCAAGCGUUGUCCGGAAUUAUUGGGCGUAAAGAGCGCGUAGGCGGGAUAGUCAGUCUGUUGUAAAGUGCGGGGCUCAACCCCGUGAUCGCAAUGGAAACAGCUAUUCUUGAGUGCAGGAGAGGAAAGUGGAAUUCCCAGUGUAGCGGUGAAAUGCGUAGAUAUUGGGAGGAACACCAGUGGCGAAGGCGACUUUCUGGACUGUGUCUGACGCUGAGGCGCGAAAGCCAGGGGGAGCGAACGGGAUUAGAUACCCCCGGUAGUCCUGGCCGUAAACGAUGGGUACUAGGUGUGGGAGGUAUCGACCCCCUUUCCGUGCCGGAGUUAACGCAAUAAGUACCCCCGCCUGGGGAGUACGGUCGCAAGACUGAAACUCAAAUGAAUUGACGGGGGUCAUAGCUGUUUCCUG